Monomorium pharaonis (pharaoh ant) is the source of this 928-nucleotide long non-coding RNA. RefSeq lists it as uncharacterized. The record is from RefSeq and is a predicted model, not a curated record. The transcript has 2 exons. Lineage: Eukaryota; Metazoa; Arthropoda; Insecta; Hymenoptera; Formicidae.
AUGCACUUGAAAGAUGUCUUUUGCCCUGCAACUUUCGCUAAUUAGUUUUCUAGAUAAUUUCUCUACCCAGUUCGUCGGUCAAAUUCGUCUGAUUCUCACCAAGUAAAAUUUUGGAAACCAUUGGGACAUUCUGCGUAAAAUAAUGCAGAUAGCUACGCUCACUAUACAUUGAAACCAAGUUACAAACAGAGGUGCAUCCAAAUUCACAGUAUCACUGGACAAGAGUGCUUUAUUCAUAAAUACAGUUAGAAUAGAUACUAUCCUGGAAAAUUAUUUAAAAACACAUUUAAAGAAAAAUCUUUGUAAAAAAAAUCAAGAUUUUGAAUUAUAAUAGUAAUUGUGUAACAAGUGCGAAGUCAGGUAUUGUUCACGAGUGCGAGAAUGAAAAAAGUAAUUCAAGUUUCAAUAAUAGUAAGUUACUUAUUCAAUCGAAAAUAGUUUAAAGUUAAGUUUGUCUGUUUCAAUCUGCAAUGGAUCUUGCUGAAUAUAAUUUUUCUAUUAAUUUAAUAUCCUUAGCUUAUAUAAACUGCGCGCCGACAAGUUUUUCAGUCUUGAAACAGUUAAUAAUUGAUGCUUAAAAACACCUUUAAGAUUCCCACUUUUCCCAAAAAGGAUUUCAUACAAAAAUCAAGCCUAAAAAUUUUCAGAAAACAAAAAAUUUCUUUAUCUUUAAAUUGUUCAUUAUGUAAAUUUUUCUUCGGAUAUUUAUAUAGGUUUAAAAACAAAGUUAUUAUAUAUUAUAGUUGUAUACAUAUAUUAUCUACAUAUGUAUAUAAUAUAUUAUAUUUUACUAUUUUUUUGAGGAUCUAAUUUUUUGAGAAAAUUUUGGACUUAUUUGCUUUUUACGGAAAUUUUACUAUCUGUUUAUGUCAUAAUAUUGUACAUUUAUUUCUUUUUAUAACAAUAAUAAAGAUAAAGAAGAAAAUUA